CAGCCGCCACGGUAAUACGAAGGGUGCAGGCGUUAAUCGGAAUUACUGGGCGUAAAGCGUGCGUAGGCGGUUUGUUAAGUCUGUUGUGAAAUCCCCGGGCUCAACCUGGGAAUGGCAAUGGAUACUGGCAAGCUAGAGUGUGUCAGAGGAAGGUGGAAUUCCCGGUGUAGCGGUGAAAUGCGUAGAGAUCGGGAGGAACAUCAGUGGCGAAGGCGGCCAUCUGGGACAACACUGACGCUGAGGCACGAAAGCGUGGGGAGCAAACAGGAUUAGAUACCCGCGUAGUCCCUGUCUCUUAUAC
RNAcentral lists this ribosomal RNA (301 nucleotides) under uncultured bacterium. Its description in RNAcentral is "partial 16S ribosomal RNA". It matches the Rfam family "Bacterial small subunit ribosomal RNA", at positions 509 to 807 of the family's 1533-position model. The record is from RNAcentral.